RNAcentral lists this long non-coding RNA (473 nucleotides) under Sinocyclocheilus anshuiensis. RNAcentral describes it as "lncRNA (ENSSANG00000043341.1)". The record is from RNAcentral. Lineage: Eukaryota; Metazoa; Chordata; Actinopteri; Cypriniformes; Cyprinidae.
GUUCUUCACAAGACUUAAGACAGCUUAUCUGCUUUGAGGACGUAGCUGUGCUGGGGAUUGAAGACAGUUUUCAGGGUUCUUCAGGCAGGUGAAGGGAGCGGGAUGUGGCCACCUACGCUGAUCCUGCAUCUGCUUUUGGUGGUCCGCUUGUCCCUCAGUGCCCAUGGUGAACAAAUGUCUUGCAGACCUCAGAACUGCAUGCUUGAGUGCAUCCGCCGGGGAGAUCCCAGAUGUGAAUACUGCAGAAUCUCAGCAGACGAUGUACAGAUAUCUCCCAGCAUUCCCUCCUCCAGCCCUUUUGGAAGUUGUGUGCCUUGGCCUUGUCACUCUUUUCUAGGUCAGGAAACCCCAGAGGUCUGCCAGCAUUAUGUUCACGCACCACACAAUAUUCAGAUUGAGUUUGAAGCCAGUGAAGAACCAACAUAUGAUGCUAUUACUGUGUCAUGGAACCCAAGCCAAUACGGUAAUGAAGA